CUGCCCUCGCCAAGAGCACACUGCACAUAUUUUACCUUGUAGGUUGAACAGGACACCGCGCGCAGCGCCACUGCGCACCGUCUACGAAACGUUCACCCAUGUCAAGCAAGCUCAUCAAUGCUGUCUGCACCAUGGCAACGCGCGAGUGCGUUGCUGAGCUUGCGCUGUUCCACCGAGCGCUCCGCACGCUUCAUCCCACCCUACCCCUCUACCUCGGCUGCAGCAGCGAGGUCCGCGACGCCGCAGAAGCGGCCACCGACGCCACUUCGCAGCUGCGUGCUCUGUACGACGAUGCGCAUGUGCGGUGGGUACUGUGUCUCGACCAGUACGGCCCGGUCAUCUCACGCGCGGAAAUGGAGCGCCAACGCGGCGUGUGGUACCCCGCACGGCACACUGACUUCAUGAUGGAAAAGGCCAAUCUGAUGGAGCUAGCGUUGAUGACGGCAGAGCCAAGCACGCCGACCGUGGCCUUCCUCGACUGCGAUAUUAUUCUGCUUCGCGAACUGCCCUGCGUGCCGGCAGCCGCGGCUGUUGCCCUGUCGCCGCACUGGAUUCGCGAAUCCGACGAGGCCAUCUUCGGUGCCUUCAACGGCGGCUACGUUGUCGCGAGCACGCCGGAGGUGCUGUGGGAGUGGCGACAAGCUACACAGACGUCACGGUACUUUGAUCAGGCUUCGCUGGAGCACGUGGCGGCUGUCUUUGAGCGGCGCGCGCAGCUGCACCGACUGCCACCGCAGCACAACUACGGGUUCUGGCGUCUCCUCCAGUCGCGCUGCGGAAGUGUCGCCGAAGAGGCGAAGCGCUUUUCCAUCGCCCCUGCGCCGUCACCGGGCAGCGAGCAGCAACCAGCGCCGAUGGCCGUCCACUACGAUGGGGCACCGCUUUGCUCUGUGCACACGCACUUUUUGAUGCCCGACCCCCCGCGAGACGUUCGCCUGUUCAACGCCGUGCUGAAACGCUGGCUGGGGCGCUGCGCCGCCACAAACCCCAUCUGCGCCGCGGUCCUCGCGCACUUCUGAAGGGGGAAGUGACCUUCCCCCACCAAGCGAGGCGCCGCCGGGGGCCCCCAACGGCCACACGCGGAACGCCCCAGCGACGAGGGCACCACAACCACCCCCGCCGCGAACCCAACACCGGCAGCCCCAGCGCCCGCCGGCGGAGCGCCGCAAAAACCAACGCCAGCCGCCCCACCCACCGAGCGCGCCCAAAACCCUUUCAAAACCCCAGCCAGACCCCACCCCGCCCCUGGCCCCUCAGCCAGCGCCGCACGCCCCAGCCCCUAACCCAAACCAAACCCGCCGAAGGCCGCCGCAAAGGCAUGCAAACACCACGCGGAUAGAAAAGACGCGCCCCCCCCACCCCCGAAACACCCCCGGGGGACCCCACCGCCCGCACCGGCGGCGGAAAAACACGCCGACUUCCCCGCACCCUUUGCGCCUGGAAAACCCCCAAAAGAAGCGGCAGGGCGCUGGCGGGGCUAUGACGCACCCGCCCCCACCAGGGCGAAGCUGGCGAGCCCUGCGAAAAAAGAACCAAAGGAGCCGACGCCGACACGGAGCAAACCAGGGACCCGACAAACCCCAGCGCAUCGCCAAACGCCCCCGAGCACAAGGGCACCUGACGCGCAACACAAACACACACACACAAAAAAAAAGGAAAAAAUUGCAGCGACACAUCGUGGCUUUCAAGUCGGCUAUGGCGGUGGAAGCCGCCAAAAUCCAACCAGCGCAGCGCCAGCCAGAAACCCACCAGCCCCCGCCAGACACCACGCACAACACAGAGCAAGCGAGAGAAGCAACAAGGGAACCAAAAAGCCCACAACACAAGGACCGACCGCCUCAGCACAGGCGCUUAGCGGCGAGCACGGCGCAGAGGCGCGGCAUGGUCACUGCAGCAACCGCCACCACCAGCGCGCAUUUCCUUUCGGCGAGACCCUGCCAACCCGUUUCCCCAAGCCACGCGCCCCCAACCAGAGCACGCACCCAAAAAGCCACACCGCAAAUCCCAC
RNAcentral lists this unclassified non-coding RNA (2008 nucleotides) under Leishmania donovani. Its description in RNAcentral is "gene:LdHU3.09.0880(CDS-product:hypothetical_prote in_conserved)". Lineage: Eukaryota; Euglenozoa; Kinetoplastea; Trypanosomatida; Trypanosomatidae. The record is from RNAcentral.